GACGUAGGGCGCGAGCGUUGUCCGGAUUUAUUGGGCGUAAAGAGCUCGUAGGCGGCUUGUCGCGUCGACCGUGAAAACUCGCAGCUCAACUGCGAGCCUGCGGUCGAUACGGGCAGGCUAGAGUUCGGUAGGGGAGACUGGAAUUCCUGGUGUAGCGGUGAAAUGCGCAGAUAUCAGGAGAAACACCGAUGGCGAAGGCAGGUCUCUGGGCCGAUACUGACGCUGAGGAGCGAAAGCGUGGGGAGCGAACAGG
This 253-nucleotide ribosomal RNA is filed under the name uncultured bacterium. RNAcentral's name for it is "partial 16S ribosomal RNA". It matches the Rfam family "Bacterial small subunit ribosomal RNA", at positions 524 to 776 of the family's 1533-position model. The record is from RNAcentral.